GCGAAAGAAGCCAGAGUGUGUGUUUUUGUGUUGUUCGCGAUUUUGUUCGAGGAUUAGCGCAUGUUAGGAGUAGCUAUAAAUUUAGUGGAGACUUUGCCAGCAAGUGUGGUGAAAACAAAAGCCGUUCGACGGCUUUUUACGUUUUAUUUAAAAGCGCUUGGCGAAGCCAUAAAACCCACCGCCAGCAAAGUACAUCCACCCUCCUACCGCACACUUCUGGGACCCACCGUCAGCCAGGACAAGGCCCGUUCCGCCAGCCGCCGCACACUUAGGCGGCCUAUGCUGAUUCGCUGAUCGGACUGAUCGGCGCGUGCUGUAGCAGUUAUCGACGCCAUUGCAGAAACCACGACCGUACCUGGAUGGGGCGGUGAUUGCAGAUUGAACCGAUUGCUGUCGGAUGCUGAAUAAGUAGAAAGGAGAGGUAGUAGCCGCCGAUCGAGUGAGUACGAACCAUAAAAAUCCCUGCGCAGGUUGAUAUAAACCAGUUAAGCCAAGACCCCCACCUUGAGAGAAGCUUUAUGGCGUAGCCAUUAGACACUCCACCCACGCACACUAUAGGUUAGUGAGCUAGGUAUAG
Long non-coding RNA from Wyeomyia smithii (pitcher-plant mosquito), 577 nucleotides. RefSeq lists it as uncharacterized. NCBI's taxonomy places the organism in Eukaryota, Metazoa, Arthropoda, Insecta, Diptera, Culicidae. The transcript has 3 exons. The record is from RefSeq and is a predicted model, not a curated record.